UAUUUAUUAAUAGCGAGAAACUUCAUCACAAAUACGAAACUGUGUAAACGUGCGGCGUAGUUCGGCAGCCAUAUUAACAGCAAGCUAUUCGAGCGAGACAUGGAGCGAGGCGUGCGCAGCUGAAAAGAUUUUUCUAGAGGAACCUGUGGUGUCAUUGCCUGUGUAACCUCAUUUAAGUAGUAUUAGUGUUGGACAUUUUCACCUUUGGAAGACGGCAUGAUUACAGGCCAACGGAUGACACCUGUUUUAACACCGACUACGCGGCUUUGUGGACCCAUCGUGUUUGGAUUGACGUGCGCACUUUUCCCUGCUCUUGAUUCUGCCAUUUGGAGAUGGUGAUGUGCAAGAGUUACGAAAUGUGUAAACGUGUGCAAGGUCAUCAAGGGAGCAUUCAAGAUGUUUCAUCGCUAAACACAAGCUCAAGUGUCCCAAUAAAUGUCCAAUUUCAACACCAA
This is a long non-coding RNA of Dermacentor albipictus, 455 nucleotides long. RefSeq lists it as uncharacterized. NCBI's taxonomy places the organism in Eukaryota, Metazoa, Arthropoda, Arachnida, Ixodida, Ixodidae. The record is from RefSeq and is a predicted model, not a curated record.